Molecule: ribosomal RNA, 640 nt
Filed under: uncultured bacterium
Lineage: Bacteria
Description: bacterial SSU rRNA
Rfam family: Bacterial small subunit ribosomal RNA
Source: RNAcentral
GAAAGAUUCAUCGGAAGAGGAUGGGCAUGCGGCGCAUUAGCUAGACGGCGGGGUAACGGCCCACCGUGGCGACGAUGCGUAGGGGUUCUGAGAGGAAGGUCCCCCACACUGGUACUGAGACACGGACCAGACUCCUACGGGAGGCAGCAGUGAGGAAUAUUGGUCAAUGGGAGAGAUCCUGAACCAGCCAAGCCGCGUGAGGGAAGACGGCCCUAUGGGUUGUAAACCUCUUUUGUCGGAGAACAAAACCCGGGACGUGUCCCGGACUGCGUGUAUCCGAAGAAAAAGCAUCGGCUAACUCCGUGCCAGCAGCCGCGGUAAUACGGAGGAUGCAAGCGUUAUCCGGAUUUAUUGGGUUUAAAGGGUGCGUAGGCGGUCCGUUAAGUCAGCGGUAAAAUUGCGGGGCUCAACCCCGUCGAGCCGUUGAAACUGGCAGACUUGAGUUGGCGAGAAGUACGCGGAAUGCGCGGUGUAGCGGUGAAAUGCAUAGAUAUCGCGCAGAACUCCGAUUGCGAAGGCAGCGUACCGGCGCCAGACUGACGCUGAGGCACGAAAGCGUGGGGAUCGAACAGGAUUAGAUACCCUGGUAGUCCACGCAGUAAACGAUGAAUGCUGGUUGUCCGGGUCGAAUGAGAUCUGG